This 279-nucleotide ribosomal RNA is filed under the name uncultured bacterium. Its description in RNAcentral is "partial 16S ribosomal RNA". It matches the Rfam family "Bacterial small subunit ribosomal RNA", at positions 506 to 784 of the family's 1533-position model. The record is from RNAcentral.
UGCCAGCAGCCGCGGUAAUACGGAGGGGGUUAGCGUUGUUCGGAAUUACUGGGCGUAAAGCGUACGUAGGCGGAUUAAUAAGUUAGAGGUGAAAUCCCGGGGCUCAACCCCGGAACUGCCUUUAAAACUACUAGUCUAGAGUUCGAGAGAGGUGAGUGGAAUUCCAAGUGUAGAGGUGAAAUUCGUAGAUAUUUGGAGGAACACCAGUGGCAAAGGCGGCUUACUGGCUCGAUACUGACGCUGAGGUGCGAAAGUGUGGGGAGCAAACAGGAUUAGAUA